This is a long non-coding RNA of Amphimedon queenslandica, 565 nucleotides long. RefSeq lists it as uncharacterized. NCBI's taxonomy places the organism in Eukaryota, Metazoa, Porifera, Demospongiae, Haplosclerida, Niphatidae. The transcript is spliced from 2 exons. The record is from RefSeq and is a predicted model, not a curated record.
UUGUAAGUUGCUAAAAUUUUGAUGAUUUGCAGAUUUUAAUUUGGUGAGUUUGUGCAGGUGCCAUCAUGGUGCCAUUGAGCAUGCACAUAAUGGUACAAGAUGGCAGCUGGGUUUUAUUGUGGCAAAUGGCUGUCAAAACGGACCAAACUUGCCAAAAUUUAAUCUCCUCCAAAAUUACCUGCUUUAUGGUAUACACUAUGACAACUGCAUCCAUAUUUAGAAAAAAUGAAGAAUUCUCUUCUGGCAAUUUUGACAAUCUACCCUGUACUCUAGUACAAGGUCUUUAAAUACAUAUUAGUUCAAAUUAUAGUGGGACUCUCCCCUGGUCAGGGGUUGGGUCUCAGUAUCGUUGGUGGGCGUGGCUCUCCCACUGGGGACGUACGCAUUUACGUAAAGAGGAUCCUACCUGAGUCAGUGUUACAGAAAGACUCAAAGAUAAAGACUGGAGAUGAACUGGUAGCAGUUAAUGAUUUAAUAAUACAUAAUGUAACUAAGGACUAUGCUACUGAAGCUCUUACUAAUGUACAGGGAGCAGUGAGACUACUACUGAUACAGGACCUAUGAA